UAGGGAAUCUUCCACAAUGGACGCAAGUCUGAUGGAGCAACGCCGCGUGAGUGAAGAAGGUUUUCGGACCGUAAAGCUCUGUUAUUGGUGAAGAAGGAUAGAGGUAGUAACUGGCCUUUAUUUGACGGUAAUCAACCAGAAAGUCACGGCUAACUACGUGCCAGCAGCCGCGGUAAUACGUAGGUGGCAAGCGUUGUCCGGAUUUAUUGGGCGUAAAGCGAGCGCAGGCGGAAGAAUAAGUCUGAUGUGAAAGCCCUCGGCUUAACCGAGGAAUUGCAUCGGAAACUGUUUUCUUGAGUGCAGAAGAGGAGAGUAGAACUCCAUGUGUAGCGGUGGAAUGCGUAGAUAUAUGGAAGAAUACCAGUGGCGAAGGCGGCUCUCUGGUCUGCAACUGACGCUGAGGCUCGAAAGCAUGGGUAGCGAACAGGAUUAGAUACCCUGGUAGUCCAUGCCGUAAACGAUGAGUGCUAAGUGUUGGGAGGCUUCCGCCUCUCAGUGCUGCAGCUAACGCAUUAAGCACUCCGCCUGGGGGAGUACGACCGCAAGGUUGAAAC
RNAcentral lists this ribosomal RNA (554 nucleotides) under uncultured bacterium. Its description in RNAcentral is "partial 16S ribosomal RNA". It matches the Rfam family "Bacterial small subunit ribosomal RNA", at positions 355 to 900 of the family's 1533-position model. The record is from RNAcentral.